UGAAGGCCUUGCGUUGGGACUCCGUGCCUCCUAAACUAAGAACAAAUGAACUUGCCUUUAGGCUUUUCGCACUGCACUGUGCAUCCAGGUCCAACCCAAUGGUUAGGACGGCGGUUCUUGCAAAGCAUACAUGGAGAUGGUACAUGUGGGGAAGAAAUAUAAGAAACUCAUGCUCAUUAGCGAGGGCAGGGGUCAUAUAGUCUUCCACUUCAUCACCUUCCGCUCGGCCACUUUCGGCAAAGCAGACUAUGUACAACCUGUUCUUUUUGAAGCCCUCGGCCCCUCACCACCUGUUGAAGUUGAGGGCAGCAGCUCGCACUGUGAGGGGCUUCGGCGACGGGGCCUAUUAUGCACAUGAUGGUGUGCUACUCUCAUGGGUAGAGCUCAUCCAUGGCUUGAGUGAGUAGCCCCAAAGGCAGGUGGUAUGGCAAGCCGCGGGAAGCUCAGGGCAGGAUCAGCAGCUUCAACAGCUUCAACUGCACCAAUGCAACUGUAUGUCUCUUCAGAGUAUGUACUCAGCUCAAAAUAAAAAUCUCAAGUGUAUAUCUUCUCGAGACAUGACAUAGAUGAACACUGACAUGCUUGCUGCAAUCCCAUUAUUAACCAUGUGCUUCUAUUUCUCUCUGAAUUCGUAUUUUGAACAUGGUGAAUUUCUCGGAAUGUAGUUUCAUCUUUGCUAUUUAUGUCUCUAUAUCUGUGAAUACAUCCAUGGUCAAUUAGUUUUCUUGGUAAACAUAAGAAUUUAGGUUCACAUAGACACCCACUUUUAUGUUGGCUACAUAUUAGUUACACUGAUGCACUACUCAAGCUUUGCUUUCCUUAUAUGGAAAUUUCAUCCGUGAAGUAUGUUGUACCAGCCCUAUGGCUUGCUGAAUAUUGCUCUUGCUAAUCCAUUGAUGCUAUGCAUAUUCCACUUCGCCUGUCUGGGGUAAACUGAAGGAUGUGUCGUUGGCUGAUGAGGUUAUCCCCACUAAAGCCAAGAAGGUCAGGCGCAACUAAAACCAGGAAGGCCAAUUGUUGUUAAGUGCUCGCCCUUUUGGACCUUAUCAUUUUGUUUGUGGAUGCGCGAAAGAAUGAUGUCUGGAUAUGGGAGUGUCUCUUUAGAUGUAGAUAUAGAUGGUACCUCAAGCAACUAAACCGCGUAUGGGGAUUUAACAUUGUCUUUGGUGGAAAAGGCCCUCAAUUCUCGGCCACUGUUCUAUUUCUGAUUCCUUGCUUGGUCGUGUAGAUGUCGUGGGUAUUGUAGUCAAGGUUUCUGAUGUACUCCUGUUCCAGCCGCAACCAUGGCAAACUGUGACACUUACUAUGAAUCAUAAAUACUUCUGUCUAUCUCUUUAUCUCUGUAUAUGAUUUGGGCAGCAUGUGUGCAUUGACCAUUCUGAUCUCUUUGCUUUCUCAUCCCCGGCAUCCAGGAUACGUAGGCGGGUAUGACAUUCCUCAAAGGCGGGUGUACCGCGUAUGUGGCCGUGUUGAAAGAGUUGUGGCCUCUGUCUCUGCCUCGAAUGUCGAUGAUGCCUCUGUGCUAUCACUCUCAUGUCCUUUUUAUUUUGUUUGUUCAGUGAAUGUUGGAUUAGACAAGAAGGCUUUAUUCACGCUGAAUCUGUACAACUAUGAACUAUUUGUGUAUUCUUUUGUUUAAGCUUUGAAAUGAGAGAAUGAAAUGUUGGGUUUGAGCA
This is a long non-coding RNA of Triticum dicoccoides, 1676 nucleotides long. RefSeq lists it as uncharacterized. The transcript has 4 exons. NCBI's taxonomy places the organism in Eukaryota, Viridiplantae, Streptophyta, Magnoliopsida, Poales, Poaceae. The record is from RefSeq and is a predicted model, not a curated record.